RNAcentral lists this long non-coding RNA (532 nucleotides) under Carica papaya (papaya). RNAcentral describes it as "long non-coding RNA (CPAP_LNC008940)". Lineage: Eukaryota; Viridiplantae; Streptophyta; Magnoliopsida; Brassicales; Caricaceae. The record is from RNAcentral.
GUCUGAUCUCCCACUAGUCUCUUUUCCAGGUACACACCCAUCAAAGCACGGUGAUCUCAGAGUCGGAGAAGAUAAUGCUGCUCCUACUGCUGCUUCUUCUGAUGAUAACGACGGCGAAGAAGUGGUGGUGGAGGAACCUUGUGAAGGCCGGCUGCCGAACCUCGACCGUUGAUCACUGGUAAAAACUCGACGAAUCGAUGGUGAGGAUUUUGUCAGGGAUGCUCCAGAAAACAUAGUAAGGCUCUGAGGCUCCCUGUAUCCCUGAUCUUGAAAAAGAAAUUUGGUGGGUCGGGGAAAACCAGAUCAAUAUAAAGAAGAGAGCGGACGGUGCAAAGAUUCGUUGACCGAGAAAGAUGGAAUUUUGAUUUCUUGAAGUUUGACCGAGACUCGUUUCAGCUUAUAACGGUUUUUCAUCGGUGCCCGCCAUUUUCUUUCCCUUCCUUCUUUUUUUUUUUUGGUCCUUUAUUUUUUUUUUUCAGAAAAAUAUUUUAAAUUUUUAUUAAAUAUAUAUUAAUAUUUACUUGAAAAUUCC